AUGCGCCGAGCUCGCUCCUCACAUAAUUACCAUGGGAAGCGCAUGGGAGCAAUUGAUGCUGUCAAUGAAUGGAGAUUGCCUAAAGUAAGUGAAGAGGCAGAUGAGGCAGUGGAUCAGAAGGACUGGCAGGAUGAUGCUAUGUCAUCUCGUGUAUCCUCAGCUCGUGAUUGGAACUUCGAGUCGGAUAGUGCCUAUGAGGGAAGCAAUCAUGAUGGUCGUGCUUUUGACCAUACAGAGGUCGAGGAUUGUGCAGCUGCAGUGCAAAGGAUGGAGAGACGGCUGCGGUGCCCUGCAAGGAAACAUGAGGAAAAUGCUGUCCACGCCAAGUUGGUUGCCUGGAAGGAUGCACAGAUUGCAAAGCUCAUAGAAAAGUUGAAUCAGAAAGAAGCCCAGAUCGAUAAAUGGCAGAAGAAUAAGAUUGCACAGGCCAGGCAUAAACUGACAAAAACUGAGAAGAAGUUGGAGAAGCAGAGAGCUGAAGCCGUAGUGAAGAUGCAAAAGGCGAUAGAAGAUGCAGAGAGGAGAGCUGAUAAGAAGAGAGUCAAGAAGCAGGCAGCCACCAACAGCCGGAUAGAUGGUGUCAAGAGAGCCCUGGAGGAGAUGUCUAGGACAGGAAGGCUGCCCUGGGCACUUGCUUUUCUGUGA
RNAcentral lists this ribosomal RNA (645 nucleotides) under Triticum aestivum (bread wheat). RNAcentral describes it as "partial small subunit ribosomal RNA". The record is from RNAcentral. Lineage: Eukaryota; Viridiplantae; Streptophyta; Magnoliopsida; Poales; Poaceae.